UGCGUAACACGUGGGAAUCUGCCCUUUGGUAUGGAAUAACUCUGGGAAACUAGAGCUAAUGCCAUAUGAUGCCGUAAGGCCAAAGAUUUAUCGCCAGAGGAUGAGCCCGCGUAGGAUUAGCUAGUUGGUGGGGUAAAGGCCUACCAAGGCUACGAUCCUUAGCUGGUCUGAGAGGAUGAUCAGCCACACUGGGACUGAGACACGGCCCAG
Molecule: ribosomal RNA, 210 nt
Filed under: uncultured bacterium
Lineage: Bacteria
Description: partial 16S ribosomal RNA
Rfam family: Bacterial small subunit ribosomal RNA
Source: RNAcentral